UAUGGCAGACCGCAGAGGCACAGAGAGAGCGAGAGAGAGAGGGAGAGAGAAGCGCAACUAGACACAGAUAAGCAACUGACAAGAAAAUGAUCCGACGAGAAAUCAACUGGAUAUCUUCAAAGAAUUGGUAGAAGAUAAUUCUAAUAAAAAAAUAAUGGAGCGGCUGAUUUGGUUGACCAAGAAAAACAAGAAAGAGUUUUUGC
This 203-nucleotide unclassified non-coding RNA is filed under the name Hevea brasiliensis (rubber tree). The record is from RNAcentral. Lineage: Eukaryota; Viridiplantae; Streptophyta; Magnoliopsida; Malpighiales; Euphorbiaceae.